Molecule: non-coding RNA, 1822 nt
Organism: Microcebus murinus (gray mouse lemur)
Lineage: Eukaryota; Metazoa; Chordata; Mammalia; Primates; Cheirogaleidae
Source: RefSeq, a predicted model, not a curated record
AACUGGCCCCCUGUUUAAAAAGUUUGAGGACCCCUGCUCUACAGUGUUGAACUUCCUUAGGAAUUCAACAGGCCAAGGAGGUUAUGGACUUCAACUGGAACAGCUACCAGCUGAAAGAGUACAAUUUCUCUUUGUCUGGAUGAAAACCAGAUAAACACAGGGAUGGCAGCAGGAAAGUGUUCAUUGCCAGAUGCCCUCCUUGUCUGCCUGAUAGACACCUGACCCAAACCAGGCUGAUCAUUCUUCUGCACUGAGAUUUUGCAUACUAAAGAAAAAGAAGCUAGUGCUUCCCGAUGGAGGAAGGAUAUAGAAUGCAAGUCUGAAGAGCAGUCAGUGGAUUUCUGCCCAUCACCGUAGGAAAAAGAUACUGGCAGUGAGAGAAUAUCCCAAUAUAUAGUGAGGCAAAAAUAAGAGACAGAAGAAUCUUGGUGGUGUUAGAUAAAGUGGAUCCUGUUGUCCUCAGGUGCCAGCUACACUUUCUGCAGAUACAUUACAGUCCUUAGUAUUCCUUCCAAAAUAUUCUUCAUGCCUCAACUAGUUUCAGUUAAAUUUCUAUCAUUUACAACCGAAUAACUACACCCUGACCAAAACAGAUGGAUUAAAGAACUCUGUAAUUACUGUUGAUUUUCUUACAUUAUCAAUAAUGGUACUAUAGUUAUAUAGAAUGUCCUUAUACAGUUGACCACUGUGGGGAUCCACUUAUAUGCAGAUUUUCUUCUGCCUCUGCCACACCUGUGACAGCAAGACCAACCUUUCCUCUUCCUCUUCAGCCUACUCAACAUGAAGACGUUAAGGAUAAGAGAUCCACUUCCACUUCCUUAUGAUUUUUUCUUUAGCUUACUUUACUGUAAGAAUACAGUAUGUAAUAUGUAUUACAUAAAAAAUACCUGUUGAUCAACUGUUAUUAGUAAAGCUUCUGAUCAACAGUGGCCUAUUAGCAGCUAUUUGUUUUUGGGAAGUCAAAAGUUAUAUGCAGAUUUUCAGCUGCAUACCCCUAACUUCUGCGUUGUUCAAGGGUCAACUGCAUGUGGAAAUGAAUGCUAAAGAAUUAGGAAUGAACUAACAUGAGGUCUGCUACUUUUAAAUGAUUCAAAAAACAAAAUAUAUAAAGAAAUAGGGCAAAAAUGUUAACAAUUACUAGGUUUAAGAGUAUAUUAGCUAUUCUUUCUACUUUUCAGUAUGUAUGAAAUGUUCCACAAAAAAAUUCUUGUUAGAGGGGAGACUCUCAAAGUAUGAACAACAUGCCCAGAACUUUGAAAGAUUAGUGAUUUCAGGAAAUGGUACACAGUUUUCCACAGGUAUGGUGGGCAUAUAAGGAAGGUAAAAGGUAGAAAUUUAGCAUUUAUCCUGAAGGCAGUAGGAAACCAUUAAAGGAUUUUUUGAGGAGUGGGGAAAAUGACAUGAUCAGAUUUUGAUAUUAGAAAGAUCUCUGUUGACAGUAUGAACCACAAGUUGGAAAAUGGCAGGCAUGUGUUAAUAGUCUAGAUAAGAUAUGAUGAGGGCCUGAAUUAAGAGGAGAAAGAUAAGCAAUGAGUAUUAGAGAAGAGCAGACAUGAAAAACUGAUAGACUUUCUUUCAGUAAUGGAUUUUCAGGGGGAAGGGAUAGAAUGCUUUGAGGGAAAGAAAAGAAUCCAGGAAGCCUCAGGAUUCUGGUUUUGGUGACUACAUAGUACUAUUCACAGAGAAGGGAGAUAUGGAACUAUGAGCAGGACACACUGAGUUUAAGGUGGUGCUGGAGAUGUGAGCUUUUGACUGGAAUUCUCUUUUGUGUGAUGUGAGACAAGUUUCUUGUAAGUAGCAUAUAUUUUGGUUUUGUUUUUUU